AGAGUUUGAUCAUGGCUCAGGAUGAACGCUAGCUACAGGCUUAACACAUGCAAGUCGAGGGGUAGCAGGGUAGCAAUACCGCUGACGACCGGCGCACGGGUGAGUAACACGUAUCCAACCUUCCCAUAACUCAGGGAUAGCCUUUCGAAAGAAAGAUUAAUACCUGAUAGUACUUUUUCAAGGCAUCUUAGAAAAAGUUAAAGAUUUAUUGGUUAUGGAUGGGGAUGCGUUCCAUUAGAUAGUUGGUGAGGUAACGGCUCACCAAGUCUUCGAUGGAUAGGGGUUCUGAGAGGAAGGUCCCCCACAUUGGUACUGAGACACGGACCAAACUCCUACGGGAGGCAGCAGUGAGGAAUAUUGGUCAAUGGGCGAGAGCCUGAACCAGCCAAGUAGCGUGAAGGAAUGAAGGUCCUAUGGAUUGUAAACUUCUUUUAUAGUAGAAUAAAGUGAUCCACGUGUGGAUUUUUGUAUGUAUACUAUGAAUAAGGAUCGGCUAACUCCGUGCCAGCCGCCGC
RNAcentral lists this ribosomal RNA (515 nucleotides) under uncultured bacterium. RNAcentral's name for it is "bacterial SSU rRNA". It matches the Rfam family "Bacterial small subunit ribosomal RNA", at positions 8 to 518 of the family's 1533-position model. The record is from RNAcentral.